UACAGAGGCCCCAAGCGUUACCCGGAUUUACUGGGCGUAAAGGGUGUGUAGGUGGUGUGAUUAGUCUCUCGUUAAAACUCUGGGCUCAACCCAGAGAUCGCGAGGGAAACGGUUACACUAGAGGAUGUGAGGGGUCUGGGGAACUCAAGGUGUAGGGGUGAAAUCCGUUGAUAUCUUGGGGAACACCAAAAGCGAAGGCACCAGACUGGCGCAUUCCUGACACUGAGGCACGAAAGCGUGGGUAGCGAACGGG
Molecule: unclassified non-coding RNA, 253 nt
Filed under: uncultured Parcubacteria group bacterium
Lineage: Bacteria
Description: contains 16S-23S intergenic spacer region
Rfam family: Bacterial small subunit ribosomal RNA
Source: RNAcentral